Molecule: ribosomal RNA, 529 nt
Filed under: uncultured bacterium
Lineage: Bacteria
Description: partial 16S ribosomal RNA
Rfam family: Bacterial small subunit ribosomal RNA
Source: RNAcentral
GACGAACGCUGGCGGCGUGCCUAACACAUGCAAGUCGAACGGAGUUAAGUUUGACACCGAACGUUUCGUUUGGUGAAAGCACCUGAGGAAACAUUGGGUGUUAAACUUAGCUUAGUGGCGGACGGGUGAGUAACGCGUGAGUAACCUGCCUUUCAGAGGGGGAUAACGUUCGGAAACGAACGCUAAUACCGCAUGAUAUAUUUGGGCUGCAUGGCUCGGAUAUCAAAGGAGCAAUCCGCUGAAAGAUGGACUCGCGUCCGAUUAGCUAGUUGGUGAAAUAAAGGCCCACCAAGGCGACGAUCGGUAGCCGGACUGAGAGGUUGAACGGCAACAUUGGGACUGAGACACGGCCCAGACUCCUACGGGAGGCAGCAGUGGGGGAUAUUGCACAAUGGAGGAAACUCUGAUGCAGCAACGCCGCGUGAGGGAAGUAGGUUUUCGGAUUGUAAACCUCUGUCCUUGGUGACGAAAAAAAUGACGGUAGCCAAGGAGGAAGCUCCGGCUAACUACGUGCCAGCCGCCGCGGUAA